GGAUGCCGAGUGGUAAGGCGGGGGACUGCAAAUCCUUUUUCCCCAGUUCAAAUCCGGGUGCCG
RNAcentral lists this transfer RNA (63 nucleotides) under Helianthus annuus (common sunflower). RNAcentral describes it as "tRNA-Cys". The stretch from base 5 to 58 matches the Rfam family "tRNA", at positions 10 to 63 of the family's 71-position model. Rfam says of the family: Transfer RNA (tRNA) molecules are approximately 80 nucleotides in length. Their secondary structure includes four short double-helical elements and three loops (D, anti-codon, and T loops). Further hydrogen bonds mediate the characteristic L-shaped molecular structure. tRNAs have two regions of fundamental functional importance: the anti-codon, which is responsible for specific mRNA codon recognition, and the 3' end, to which the tRNAs corresponding amino acid is attached (by aminoacyl-tRNA synthetases). tRNAs cope with the degeneracy of the genetic code in two manners: having more than one tRNA (with a specific anti-codon) for a particular amino acid; and 'wobble' base-pairing, i.e. permitting non-standard base-pairing at the 3rd anti-codon position. The record is from RNAcentral. Lineage: Eukaryota; Viridiplantae; Streptophyta; Magnoliopsida; Asterales; Asteraceae.